GGGUUGUGAGGUUAAGCGACUAAGCGUACACGGUGGAUGCCCUGGCAGUCAGAGGCGAUGAAGGACGUGCUAAUCUGCGAAAAGCGUCGGUAAGGUGAUAUGAACCGUUAUAACCGGCGAUGUCCGAAUGGGGAAACCCAGUGCAAUUCGUUGCACUAUCGUUAACUGAAUACAUAGGUUAACGAGGCGAACCGGGGGAACUGAAACAUCUAAGUACCCCGAGGAAAAGAAAUCAACCGAGAUUCCCCCAGUAGCGGCGAGCGAACGGGGAGCAGCCCAGAGUCUGAAUCAGCUUGUGUGUUAGUGGAACGGUCUGGAAAGUCCGACGGUACAGGGUGAUAGUCCCGUACACCAAAAUGCACAGGCUGUGAACUCGAAGAGUAGGGCGGGACACGUGGUAUCCUGUCUGAAUAUGGGGGGACCAUCCUCCAAGGCUAAAUACUCCUGACUGACCGAUAGUGAACCAGUACCGUGAGGGAAAGGCGAAAAGAACCCCGGCGAGGGGAGUGAAAAAGAACCUGAAACCGUGUACGUACAAGCAGUGGGAGCACCUUCGGGUGUGACUGCGUACCUUUUGUAUAAUGGGUCAGCGACUUAUAUUCUGUAGCAAGGUUAACCGUAUAGGGGAGCCGCAGGGAAACCGAGUCUUAACUGGGCGUUAAGUUGCAGGGUAUAGACCCGAAACCCGGUGAUCUAGCCAUGGGCAGGUUGAAGGUUGGGUAACACUAACUGGAGGACCGAACCGACUAAUGUUGAAAAAUUAGCGGAUGACUUGUGGCUGGGGGUGAAAGGCCAAUCAAACCGGGAGAUAGCUGGUUCUCCCCGAAAGCUAUUUAGGUAGCGCCUCGUGAAUUCAUCUUCGGGGGUAGAGCACUGUUUCGGCUAGGGGGUCAUCCCGACUUACCAACCCGAUGCAAACUACGAAUACCGAAGAAUGUUAUCACGGGAGACACACGGCGGGUGCUAACGUCCGUCGUGAAGAGGGAAACAACCCAGACCGCCAGCUAAGGUCCCAAAGUCAUGGUUAAGUGGGAAACGAUGUGGGAAGGCACAGACAGCCAGGAUGUUGGCUUAGAAGCAGCCAUCAUUUAAAGAAAGCGUAAUAGCUCACUGGUCGAGUCGGCCUGCGCGGAAGAUGUAACGGGGCUAAACCAUGCACCGAAGCUGCGGCAGCGACACUAUGUGUUGUUGGGUAGGGGAGCGUUCUGUAAGCCUGCGAAGGUGACCUGUGAGGGUUGCUGGAGGUAUCAGAAGUGCGAAUGCUGACAUAAGUAACGAUAAAGCGGGUGAAAAGCCCGCUCGCCGGAAGACCAAGGGUUCCUGUCCAACGUUAAUCGGGGCAGGGUGAGUCGACCCCUAAGGCGAGGCCGAAAGGCGUAGUCGAUGGGAAACAGGUUAAUAUUCCUGUACUUGGUGUUACUGCGAAGGGGGGACGGAGAAGGCUAUGUUAGCCGGGCGACGGUUGUCCCGGUUUAAGCAUGUAGGCUGGUUAUCCAGGCAAAUCCGGAUAAUCAAGGCUGAGGUGUGAUGACGAGGCACUACGGUGCUGAAGUAACAAAUGCCCUGCUUCCAGGAAAAGCCUCUAAGCAUCAGGUAACAUCAAAUCGUACCCCAAACCGACACAGGUGGUCAGGUAGAGAAUACCAAGGCGCUUGAGAGAACUCGGGUGAAGGAACUAGGCAAAAUGGUGCCGUAACUUCGGGAGAAGGCACGCUGGUGUGUAGGUGAAGCCCCUGCGGGUGGAGCUGAGACCAGUCGAAGAUACCAGCUGGCUGCAACUGUUUAUUAAAAACACAGCACUGUGCAAACACGAAAGUGGACGUAUACGGUGUGACGCCUGCCCGGUGCCGGAAGGUUAAUUGAUGGGGUUAUCCGUAAGGAGAAGCUCUUGAUCGAAGCCCCGGUAAACGGCGGCCGUAACUAUAACGGUCCUAAGGUAGCGAAAUUCCUUGUCGGGUAAGUUCCGACCUGCACGAAUGGCGUAAUGAUGGCCAGGCUGUCUCCACCCGAGACUCAGUGAAAUUGAACUCGCUGUGAAGAUGCAGUGUACCCGCGGCAAGACGGAAAGACCCCGUGAACCUUUACUAUAGCUUGACACUGAACAUUGAGCCUUGAUGUGUAGGAUAGGUGGGAGGCUUUGAAGCGUGGACGCCAGUCUGCGUGGAGCCAACCUUGAAAUACCACCCUUUAAUGUUUGAUGUUCUAACGUUGGCCCCUUAUCGGGGUUGCGGACAGUGUCUGGUGGGUAGUUUGACUGGGGCGGUCUCCUCCCAAAGCGUAACGGAGGAGCACGAAGGUUAGCUAAUCCUGGUCGGACAUCAGGAGGUUAGUGCAAUGGCAUAAGCUAGCUUGACUGCGAGCGUGACGGCGCGAGCAGGUGCGAAAGCAGGUCAUAGUGAUCCGGUGGUUCUGAAUGGAAGGGCCAUCGCUCAACGGAUAAAAGGUACUCCGGGGAUAACAGGCUGAUACCGCCCAAGAGUUCAUAUCGACGGCGGUGUUUGGCACCUCGAUGUCGGCUCAUCACAUCCUGGGGCUGAAGUAGGUCCCAAGGGUAUGGCUGUUCGCCAUUUAAAGUGGUACGCGAGCUGGGUUUAGAACGUCGUGAGACAGUUCGGUCCCUAUCUGCCGUGGGCGCUGGAGAAUUGAGGGGGGCUGCUCCUAGUACGAGAGGACCGGAGUGGACGCAUCACUGGUGUUCGGGUUGUCAUGCCAAUGGCACUGCCCGGUAGCUAAAUGCGGAAGAGAUAAGUGCUGAAAGCAUCUAAGCACGAAACUUGCCCCGAGAUGAGUUCUCCCUGAGACU
RNAcentral lists this ribosomal RNA (2803 nucleotides) under Klebsiella quasipneumoniae. Its description in RNAcentral is "partial 23S ribosomal RNA". It matches the Rfam family "Bacterial large subunit ribosomal RNA". Lineage: Bacteria; Pseudomonadati; Pseudomonadota; Gammaproteobacteria; Enterobacterales; Enterobacteriaceae. The record is from RNAcentral.